RNAcentral lists this ribosomal RNA (506 nucleotides) under uncultured Sphingobacteriales bacterium. RNAcentral's name for it is "bacterial SSU rRNA". It matches the Rfam family "Bacterial small subunit ribosomal RNA", at positions 903 to 1382 of the family's 1533-position model. The record is from RNAcentral. Lineage: Bacteria; Pseudomonadati; Bacteroidota; Sphingobacteriia; Sphingobacteriales.
CGCCUUGCCAGCCCGCUCAGAAACGUUAAAGGAAGUUGACGGGGGCCCGGCACAAGCGGUGGAGCAUGUGGUUUAAUUCGAUGAUACGCGAGGAACCUUACCUGGGCUCAAAUGUAUGUUGACGUAUUCUGAAAGGGAUACUUCUUCGGACAAUAUACAAGGUGCUGCAUGGUUGUCGUCAGCUCGUGCCGUGAGGUGUCGGGUUAAGUCCCGCAACGAGCGCAACCCUUGCCUUUAGUUGCCAUCAGGUUAAGCUGGGGACUCUAAAGGAACUGCCUACGCAAGUAGUGAGGAAGGCGGGGAUGACGUCAAAUCAGCACGGCCCUUACGUCCAGGGCUACACACGUGCUACAAUGGCCGAUACAGAGGGCAGCUACCUGGUGACAGGAUGCAAAUCUCCAAAGUCGGUCUCAGUUCGGAUCGGAGUCUGCAACCCGACUCCGUGAAGUUGGAUUCGCUAGUAAUCGCGCAUCAGCCAUGGCGCGGUGAAUACGUUCCCGGGCCUU